CAGAACGAACGCUGGCGGCGCGUCUUAAGCAUGCAAGUCGAGCGGCAAGGGGGAGCAAUCCCUCCUAGAGCGGCGGACUGGUGAGUAACGCGUGGGUGACCUACCCUAAGGUUGGGGAUAGCCAUUAGAAAUAGUGGGUAAUACCGAAUAUGGUUAUCGGGCUUUGGUCUGGUAAAGAAAGGGGCUUCGGCCCCGCCUUGGGAUGGGCCCGCGUCCCAUUAGCUUGUUGGCAGGGUAAGAGCCUACCAAGGCGAUGAUGGGUAGCCGGCCUGAGAGGGUGAACGGCCACACUGGGACUGAGAUACGGCCCAGACUCCUACGGGAGGCAGCAGCUAAGAAUAUUCCGCAAUGGACGAAAGUCUGACGGAGCGACGCCGCGUGGAUGACGAAGGCCGAAAGGUUGUAAAAUCCUUUUGUUACUGAAGAAUAAGGGGGACAGGGAAUGGUCUCCUGAUGACGUUAGGAACGAAUA
Molecule: ribosomal RNA, 472 nt
Filed under: uncultured Treponema sp.
Lineage: Bacteria; Pseudomonadati; Spirochaetota; Spirochaetia; Treponematales; Treponemataceae
Description: bacterial SSU rRNA
Rfam family: Bacterial small subunit ribosomal RNA
Source: RNAcentral